GGAGUAGUACUCAAGUGGCUGAAGAGGCGCCCCUGCUAAGGGUGUAGGUCGAGUUAUCUCGGCGCGAGGGUUCGAAUCUCUCCUACUCCGC
RNAcentral lists this transfer RNA (91 nucleotides) under Lactobacillus corticis. RNAcentral's name for it is "tRNA-Ser". It matches the Rfam family "tRNA". From Rfam's summary of the family: Transfer RNA (tRNA) molecules are approximately 80 nucleotides in length. Their secondary structure includes four short double-helical elements and three loops (D, anti-codon, and T loops). The record is from RNAcentral. Lineage: Bacteria; Bacillati; Bacillota; Bacilli; Lactobacillales; Lactobacillaceae.